RNAcentral lists this ribosomal RNA (484 nucleotides) under uncultured bacterium. RNAcentral describes it as "partial 16S ribosomal RNA". It matches the Rfam family "Bacterial small subunit ribosomal RNA", at positions 28 to 523 of the family's 1533-position model. The record is from RNAcentral.
GACAAACGCUGGCGGCGUGCUUAACACAUGCAAGUCGAACGAUGAAGCCGGAGCUUGCUCUGGUGAAUUAGUGGCGAACGGGUGAGUAACACGUGAGUAACCUGCCCUUGACUCUGGGAUAACUGCGGGAAACUGUAGCUAAUACCGGAUACGACCCUCGGAGGCAUCUCCUGGGGGUGGAAAGAAUUUCGGUCAAGGAUGGACUCGCGGCCUAUCAGCUAGUUGGUGAGGUAAAGGCUCACCAAGGCGACGACGGGUAGCCGGCCUGAGAGGGUGACCGGCCACACUGGGACUGAGAUGCGGCCCAGACUCCUACGGGAGGCAGCAGUGGGGAAUAUUGCACAAUGGGCGCAAGCCUGAUGCAGCGACGCCGCGUGAGGGAUGACGGCCUUCGGGUUGUAAACCUCUUUCAGCACCGACGAAGCGCAAGUGACGGUAGGUGCAGAAGAAGGACCGGCCAACUACGUGCCAGCCGCCGCCGUAA